AGGUGGAUAUGUACCAGCCCCACUGACUCCUCAACAAGCCAAAGCAGCCAAGUACGGCCAAUUGCAGAGCUUCCUUGGUGGUGCAGGAGGAGGAGCAGGAGGAGGAGGAGGAGUCUAUAGAGGUGGAGUUGCAGGAUGCCGGGGCAAAUUCUGUGGCAGGAGGAAGUAGAGGAUCUCUUGAGAUCCAGCGUGACCUCAAGACACCAUGGUGCUACUGCAUGAUCUAGAAUGUACAUUUUAUAUGCAAACAAACCCCGUUAGAAAACAUGUAAAGAUGUUUGGUUUUUUUACUUACUUGACUUCAUCGCCUGUUUUUAUACAAACCCACCGACCCAGAAUUUUGUACACGCUCCGGUGUGACGUAUGUUAGUUGCAGCUUUAACUCCCCGUACUGCACCAGCCCACUUAGAAUACAAAGAGUGUGUGUAUGUGUCACAGUGUGUUGUUGUUGUUGUGCAUGAAUGUGCGUGUGUUUCGUGUAUGGUUGUACUGUUGUGCGAAAGACUGACUGAACCAUCGACUGUCAAUGUGACCUAUGAAUGAUUUCUCUUUCCACUGAGGUGAACUGUCCUCAGUGUCACAGCCCACACUGUCGCACCUCGCUGUGCAGAGCUUGUCAUCUCUCUGACAUGUCAGAGGGGUUGGGUUGGUCGAGGCUCGUCCGAAAACUGAGGAAAUCUGGCCAAUCUCAGUGUCGUCUCUUGCUCCCCGUUUUCUCUGCUGCUAUUCUUAGGCCUGCUGGGUAUAAAGCAGCGGGAAUUGGGGCUCUGGCCAACCCAUCUGCUCUCAGUAACUUUGCUGAUUCUAGUUGCUAUGCAGUUCAGUUUUCUCUGCAUUUUUAAUGUUGCCAAACUUGUGAUGUAUGAAGAGCAGUUUCUGCUCUGAGGAACGACAUGCUGAAGAUGUUACACGAUGUUUAAAAAACAUGGGAAAGCCUUCCAAGUAUAGAUUAAUACGUAACUCGGAUACUACUCUGGCAUUUACAUUAUGUAUGUGUGAAUGUUUCAUGAUGUCUCUUGAAUAGAGCGCCGUAGUCUGCUUCAAAUGUUUAGUCUCAUUGCAGCAGUUAUUUACAUUUAUGUAACUUGUCAUUACAUGAUUAUUCAAGAUUGUUUGCACCAUUCUUUGACUCAUAGCUUUAUUGUUAUCAGGAAUGUGUGAACAUCCUUUGCUUUUGCAUUUAUUCAGUGUUUAGAAUUGUAAUACAGAAUAAGACUUUGUUUAAUGGGAGAGACAAAGUGUUAAUGUGAGGCAUGAGCACCCAUUGUUCUUCAUUUACUUGAGCUGCUUUUAAAAAGGCCAAACUGACCAAAGGUGCAUGAGCGCUGUUGCCAAGUGACCCCAUCUCUCUCUGUAAUUGUGUACUGUAUUUUGUACUAAUUUGAUAAACGCUGGCUUCGGUUCCUUCACUCGGUGCUGUGUAAGAAAUGUCUUUGAGCCUCGCUGGGUCAGACCUUGUCUUAUGUGCCAAGGGAUACCCUUCAUCUUUAUUUAAAGCUGUUUUUAUAAGGAGGAACAGUGUGGUUUUGCACUUUUUAUAUUUCCACGACACACAUGUGACUUGUUCCUGGAAUCCAGCAUUUAUUUGCUUCAUUAAAUAACAAAAUACAAUGUGUUAAAA
Long non-coding RNA from Anarrhichthys ocellatus (wolf-eel), 1621 nucleotides. RefSeq lists it as uncharacterized. NCBI's taxonomy places the organism in Eukaryota, Metazoa, Chordata, Actinopteri, Perciformes, Anarhichadidae. The transcript is spliced from 3 exons. The record is from RefSeq and is a predicted model, not a curated record.